UUUUUGGCCACACCCUUGGCACGCUGAAAUUGCAGAGCCAGGGAUGGAACCCUAGCCACAGCAGUGACCCAAAGCACAACAAUGACAACCCCUCAUCCCUAACAUGCUGAGCCACCAGGGAACUCCCAGUAACUUUGGUUUUCAUCAACAGCCAAAGCAACUCAUUAAAUAGAAUGUUCUAUAUAUUAACGCCUUAAAAUUGGAAGAAGAGGGGUGUGUGUAACAGCUAACAUGAGUACCUUUCUUUCCAGCUCUGGGUUUUCCAGGUGUUGGAAGAAACCAUUGGCAGUGACUAGGAGGUUAGAAGAGAAGAGUUUAUCUUUUUCUCUAGAAGUCUGUCUGUCUAGUUACACUUCUUUUUUCCUGAAAGUCUCUUAAUGUGCUGCUCUGGUUUAGUGACGAACUUUCCUUUCUGGCAUGUGGCCUUCUGUAGCCAAGCUUUUGUUGGUUGAGUCCCAGCACGUUUCAUUAAGUGCAAAAUCCUGUAGAACAGAUGGAUUUACAAGUUUCUGCUCAUGUAGCAUUCUGUUUAAUGCAACACUGGACUUUGGGUUCAGCAUCGUUGGCAGUAAUUGUCUAUGUGUAUAGUGUGGCGUUGGAGUAGGUGGUCAGGGGAUCUAGGCAGUUAUAAAGGCCAAGCCAGGCAUGAACAGUCUGAGGUUGGAGGCUUAAAGAAGCCUGUUACAGUGAUAACUGGCAGCAGUAUACAAGUACAUGCUAGUUUAGGUGGUGUUACGUACCACUAGUUAAGAGUCUUUGAACCUAGGAACAUGAAAUCUUACUAAAAAAAAAAAGUCUUGGGAGUUCCCGUUGUAGCUCAGCAGUAAUGAGCCCGACUAGUAUCCAUGAGGAUGCAGGUUUGAUCUCUGGCCUCGCUCAGUGGGUUAAGGGUCCAGCGUUGCUGUGAGCUGUGGUGUAGGUUGUGGACGCGGCUCGGAUCCCACGUUGCUGUGUGGCUGUGGCGUAGGCCGGCAGCUACAGCUUCAACUUGAGGACCCGUAGCCUGGGAACUUCUGCAUGCCAUGGGUGAGGCCCUAAAAAGACCAAAAAGAAAAAAGUCUUGCCGUGUGAGUGAGUAUAGAGUGCUUACGAAUUGUACUUGUGUACAUGAAAAGUUGGUAAUGUGGUCCUUGGUCUUCAAGAGCUGUUUUUAUAACAGAGCUGCCUUAGCCGUGCUCUUUAUAGACGUGCACCUGCUUUAAAGAAAAAAAAAAAAUCAACCAUAUGGAGGCAUCAUUUAAUACAGUAAAUAUAUCAAUUUUAAAGAUAUUUUCAGAGUUCCGGCUGUGGCAUAGUGAGUUAAGGAUCUGACUGCAGUGGCUUGGGUUGCUGCGGAAGCUCAGGAUUGAUCCCCAGCCUGGUGCAGUGGGUUAAGGGAUCCAGUGUUGCUGUGGCUGGGGCAUAGGUUGCAGCUGUGGCUCAGAUUCACUUCCUGGCCCCUGGUUCGGAAACUUCCACAUGCUGUGGAUGCAGCCGUUAAAAAAGAAAAAAGAUACUUUCAUUGCCCAGAAAUUUCUCACAUGUCCUUUUGCCAUGAAUCUCUACCCUAUACCCAGACAGUUACUCAUCUGCUUUCUGUCACUACAGGCUAAGUUUCUCUUUUCUAGGACUCUCUUUAUGUGGAAUUAUAUAGAAUAUUCUUCUAUCUCCCUUCUUUCAUUCAGCGUAACAUUUUUGAGAUUUACCCAUGUUCCUUUUCAGUGCUGAGUAGUAGUCCUUUAUAUGGAUGGACCACAAUUUAUCUCUUCACCUCUUGAUGGAUAUUUGUUGUUCCGUGGUUUGACUGUUGUGAGUGAUGCUCUCACUACAUUCAUGUACAAGUCUUUGGUUUUGUACUUGUACAAUAUAUGUUUUCCUUUCCUUUUGCUUUUUAUAAAUUUUUUUUAUUUAUAUAAUUUUUUUUAUUUUCCCACUGUACAGCAAGGGGGUCAGGUUAUCCUUACAUGUAUACAUUACAAUUACAUUUUUUCCCCCACCCUUUCUUCUGUUGCAACAUGAGUAUCUAGACAUAGUUCUCAAUGCUAUUCAGCGGGAUCUCCUUGUAAAUCUAUUCUAGGUUGUGUCUGAUAAGCCCAAGCUCCCGAUCCCUCCCAGUCCCUCCCCCUCCCAUCAGGCAGCCACAAGUCUCUUCUCCAAGUCCAUGAUUUUCUUUUCUGUGGAGAUGUUCAUUUGUGCUGGAUAUUAGAUUCCAGUUAUAAGUGAUAUCAUAUGGUAUUUGUUUUUGUCUUUCUGGCUCAUUUCACUCAGUAUGAGAUUCUCUAGUUCCAUCCAUGUUGCUGCAAAUGGCAUUAUGUCAUUCUUUUUUAUGGCUGAGUAGUAUUCCAUUGUGUAUAUAUACCACCUCUUCCGAAUCCAAUCAUCUGUCGAUGGACAUUUGGGUUGUUUCCAUGUCCUGGCUAUUGUGAAUAGUGCUGCAAUGAACAUGCGGGUGCACGUGUCUCUUUUAAGUAGAGUUUUGUCCAGAUAGAUGCCCAAGAGUGGGAUCUUUUUGCUUUUUUAAGGCUGCACCCACGGCAUAUGGAAGUUUCCAGACUAGGGGUCACAUUGGAGCUGCAGCCACUGGCCUACACCACAGCCGCAGCAACAGGAGAGUCAAGCCAUGUCUGCGACCUACGCCACAGCUCACAGCAAUGCUGGAUCCUUAACCCACUGAACGAGGCCAGGGAUCGAACCCUCAUCAUAGAUCCUAGUUGGAUUCGUUAACCACUGAGCCACGACGGGAGCUCCAUGUUGUCAUUUCUUAGGUUAAAAUGCCCAGAAAUAGAAUUGUUGUAUGUUAUAAUGUAGAUGUAUGUUUUAUCUUGUAAGAAACUGCCAGGCUUUCCCAAAGAGCAGGAUCCUUUCACGUCUGUGGCAGGAGUGUGUGAGAAUUCCCCUUCUGCAUCCUCACUGACACUUGGUAUUUUCAGUUUUAUUACUUUGUUUUUUUUUGGUUGUACCCAUGGCAUAUGUAGUUUAACUCUUGUGGGGUAUGGAGAGGCUGUCAUUCCUCGCCCCUGGAAAUUUUGUUUCUUGUAGAUUUUUUUUCCUUUUUCCUCUUCAGCAGAGCUCUUGAGCACCUGCUGUAUGCCAAGUACUGCCUUCACUGCAGGCAAUGGAAAGAUGAAUUUCACUUGGUUUCUGUCCCACGGCUUGUGAAAGUUCCAGGGCCAGGGAUCACACCUGCACCGCAGCAGUGACAGCAGCAGAUCCUUAGCCCGCCGUACCACCGGAACUCUGGUUUCUGUUCUUUUUUAAAACUAACUUUACUACGGAGGCAUAUAAUACACAAGCAGUGAAUUUCAUCCGUUGAAGUAUAUAGUUCGAUGAAUUCUGAUGUUUCUUUUUUAUUAGUCUUCUGCUUUUCCUCCUUCCUUUCCCUUCCUUGAUUAGCGCCAUGGUGAUUGUAAUAGAUAUGGAAAUAGGUGGGAUCUUGACUUCUUUCUGCUAAGGCUGUCCCAGAUAUAACACAGACUGAAUUCACUCCCUAGUUUAUCAGCUCUGUUCCAUGUGAUAAAAAGUCCAUAUAGCAAGUUACUGUAUAAUGAGGGCUAUCUCUGUUCCUUGCAGUUUAGUACUGGUUUAGAGCAAAGCAAGUUAAAAUUUAACUGGCAUUGUGUAGUGUACAGUAGGCCUGGAAAGUUGUUAAGUGGAUUUCUGCUAAAUGAAUCAUGUUUUCUAACUUGGAGAUGCAGUCUGGGGAAACAAGUUUUAGCUCAGCUUCUCCAUGAGAGCGCUUAAAGAAAUAUAUCCAACCUACUAUGAAAAAAGCCUCCUUGGAAAAGUGAGAGGAUAACUUUUGGCAGUACUUUAAUAGUCAGAAUAAAAUGCACAGACCCCACCAAACUGACUCUGAAUUGCAGUAGGUUGACAUUUGAAUUCUAAGGAGUGGUGCUGCCUGGGGGAGUGGCUUUGUCACGGUUUGUCCAUUUGUUCCCUUCUCAGGAUUCCUCACCCCGAGAAAUUCAGCAGGUUUCUGCUGCAGCCCAGUCAGUGGAGGAAUGAGCCUUUCUCGCCUCUGUCUUCUUUUGUCUGCUUUUGCUGUUUAUAAUACUCUUUGCAGCUUGCGGUGCGCUUGCAUUGUGACAACUGUCAGUGUCAUGUUGUUGCAGACCCUGCAUCUGUCUCAUUCAGAGUUUAUUCUCAUAAUCGCACACAGUCCGCUGUGGAUGGUUGGUGCCCGACACACGUUAAAUUAAUGAACUUCCCACUGUGCUCUGACUGAACAGUGUCGCCUCCAAGUGUCCCCCAGGCCACGCACGUCACUUAACAAAGUUUAGAGCAUAUGGUGACUGUUCGGCAUCUAUCAAGUACUGGCCCCAAUCAGUAAAAUAUAGCAAAGAAACUAAAAUGUAUCUUUUAAUGCAACUACUGACCUGAAUUUUUUUUUUUUCCACUUAAUUUUGUUGCGCUAUUCCCAUACCAGAGACUUCACGUGUUUAAAUAGCGGUACGUUUUGGUGCUUUUUAAAAUAGUCACAGAGGUGUGCGGUUAGCUCUUAGCAGUCAAUCUUAGAACAUUUCAUUACUGCGGAAAGAAACUCCACACCCAUCAGGCCUGACUCCCUNNNNNNNNNNNNNNNNNNNNNNNNNNNNNNNNNNNNCAGCCGGUUUGCUCUGUCUCCAGGGAGUGGCCCCCCUGGACGUUUCACAUGGAUGGACUCGGGCAGCGUGAGGCCUCUUUCACCCAGUGUGAUGUGUUCAGGGUCCAUCCACGUGGUUGCCCGUGUUAGUCUAAGGACGUUUCUGAACCCGUUCCAUAGUCCUGGUUCCGCCUGGGAGGUCUUCUGGGAGCUGGGAAGGACUUUGGAGGUUGUAUAGUUUGGCAUAUCCUCACUUGAGAGAUGAGAUUAAAGCUUUUAUCACUCGGAGCCGUUUAUUAGUCCUUUCCGUUGCCUCCUAUCUCCCAAAUUCAAUUUCCUUGGGUUGGGAAAGACUUUGUGCUUCUCCCUCUUGUCGCUGUGUGUGGUUCGGUCAUUGAACCCUGUGAGGCCCAGCCGGCUCCUGUCUGUCCCGGGGAUGCUGUCCCUGGGGCCGGGCUCCGAUGCCCUGGAGCCAGGGCGGCACCGUGUGCACACACAGCAGAGUUUCUUGGUCAGACCUGUGUUAGUGCUUUUACCUCAGGGGCUGAUCUCCCACAUCCCCAGUCCUUUCGAAGGCAGGGGGCCUCGACUGGGGGGCCCCUGCCCAGUUACUGCCCUUUCUAGGGCUCAGGCUUUGGGAGUUGAGCGGAAGGCUCCGCGCUGCGCUCCAGCGCCCCCUGGCGCCCGGCCGUGGUGGUCGCCCUCUGUCCGUUUCUCCUCUUGGGGCGGAAAGCGCUCUUUGCCGAGGCUUCGUGGCCUCUCUGGAGAUCUGUGGGCCGUGCGGGCAGAUGUCUUCCUUCGCCCGGCCUCCCUUGGGCUGAGAUUGGGUGUUUGCUCUGCCUGUGGCACAAACACUGGUGUUUCCCGUUCCGCCUGCCCUUUAGCCAGCGGCGUAGCCAGGGGACCAGGCCUCCGUCUCCGCCGAAGACCAGAGCGGCCCCGCCCAGCUGCGCUGCCCCGAGCGGCGUCGUGUCUGCACCCUGACCAUGCUGUGGGUUGGCCCCGUCUGCCAGAUGUGUUUCUUUUAGAUAUACUUUUCAUGUUCAUUCUAGAAAGGAUCCUAAAAUGAUCAAACGUGAACUGUGGGAGAUCAGAAAGCUGGAGCUGGGCUUUGUUCCUGGCUCGGCCUAGAGCUGCACCAUUUCCCAGGCCCUGGGCUGUGUCCCACCCCCGCUGGCCUUCCCUGCAGCGGCCACAGCCCCCCCCCCCGGGGUGGGGGGAGAGGAGGGUUUGUGAGGAGCAUUUGGGGUUGCUCCCACUUGUAACUCGUUUAUUCACCUUCCUCUGCUGGGCAGCCCUUCAGACCUAGGGAACUCUGCAGGCUCGCCUUACAGCCGAGGGAGGCCUAGAGCUCUUAGCACCGUGUAAACAGUCACUUCGGCCUGCGUGGGCCGGGCCUGCCCUGGGCGUGGCUGCCCCCUUCACUGUCCUGGCUUUCAGCUGGCUCUGCUCCUGGAGGACAGAUUCAUGUGGUCAGGGGCAUUUUCUCCCCACUAGCUUAUAAAUUCUGUGAAAUCAGGUACAAAAGCCUUUUCUUUCAUUUUUUUUAAACCCUGUUUUUCCUAAAAACAGACUUUAUUUAUUUAUUUUUUGGUCUUUUUGCCUUUUCUAGGAUCACUCCAACGUCAUAUGGAGGUCCCCAGGCUAGGGGUCUAAUUGGAGCUGCAGCCCCCGGCCUACACCACAGCUCACGGCAACGCCAGAUCCUUAACCCACUGAGCAAGACCAGGGAUCGAACCUGCAACCUCAUGGUUCCUAGUCGGAUUCGUUAACCACUGAGCCACGACGGGAACUCCUAAAAACAGACUUUAAAGUGUGUUAAUUCUCCAGAGGAAGGGAAGUACUUCACACACAUAUAAAGAGAGGGUAAGAAAUUUCAUCACAACUAUUUUCAGCUUUAG
RNAcentral lists this long non-coding RNA (6462 nucleotides) under Sus scrofa (pig). RNAcentral describes it as "lncRNA (ENSSSCG00005035095.1)". Lineage: Eukaryota; Metazoa; Chordata; Mammalia; Artiodactyla; Suidae. The record is from RNAcentral.